Molecule: long non-coding RNA, 407 nt
Filed under: Homo sapiens (human)
Lineage: Eukaryota; Metazoa; Chordata; Mammalia; Primates; Hominidae
Description: HSALNT0030449
Source: RNAcentral
GGCAAAGCCCCUUCCCUCUCUUCGGAGGUCGGCACCACUUUUCUUCCAAACGGUAUUUCCAAAAGGAGCACAACUUGAAGGAAGGAGCCCGGGUGAGAAAAGUCGAGUCUUUGACGGUUAGUCCCCCUCACGGGGAGCAGCGUCAAGAAAAGACACACAUGUCAGGCAGGUGUACAAAGGCAGAGAAGGACGGGGAGAGAGAGAGAACCGGGGAAUGGGAGGCGAAGGCAGGAAAGAAGGAGACAGAGGCGGGAGGUGCGGCACGGACUUGAAAGGACGCGCAGGAUGUGGACGAAAGAAGAGAGUCAAGGAGAGGGAGAAGAAGGGAGGCAGUGGGGAAAGAAAGGGAAGAGAUAAAGACUGGAGGCGGCGGGAAGGAUGCAAGAAUGCCCAGGCGCGGGGCCGCG